RNAcentral lists this ribosomal RNA (1408 nucleotides) under Klebsiella sp. enrichment culture clone HSL96. Its description in RNAcentral is "Raoultella sp. enrichment culture clone HSL96 16S ribosomal RNA". It matches the Rfam family "Bacterial small subunit ribosomal RNA". The record is from RNAcentral. Lineage: Bacteria; Pseudomonadati; Pseudomonadota; Gammaproteobacteria; Enterobacterales; Enterobacteriaceae.
AGUCGAGCGGUAGCACAGAGAGCUUGCUCUCGGGUGACGAGCGGCGGACGGGUGAGUAAUGUCUGGGAAACUGCCUGAUGGAGGGGGAUAACUACUGGAAACGGUAGCUAAUACCGCAUAACGUCGCAAGACCAAAGUGGGGGACCUUCGGGCCUCAUGCCAUCAGAUGUGCCCAGAUGGGAUUAGCUAGUAGGUGGGGUAAUGGCUCACCUAGGCGACGAUCCCUAGCUGGUCUGAGAGGAUGACCAGCCACACUGGAACUGAGACACGGUCCAGACUCCUACGGGAGGCAGCAGUGGGGAAUAUUGCACAAUGGGCGCAAGCCUGAUGCAGCCAUGCCGCGUGUAUGAAGAAGGCCUUCGGGUUGUAAAGUACUUUCAGCGAGGAGGAAGGCAUUAAGGUUAAUAACCUUAGUGAUUGACGUUACUCGCAGAAGAAGCACCGGCUAACUCCGUGCCAGCAGCCGCGGUAAUACGGAGGGUGCAAGCGUUAAUCGGAAUUACUGGGCGUAAAGCGCACGCAGGCGGUCUGUUAAGUCAGAUGUGAAAUCCCCGGGCUCAACCUGGGAACUGCAUUUGAAACUGGCAGGCUUGAGUCUUGUAGAGGGGGGUAGAAUUCCAGGUGUAGCGGUGAAAUGCGUAGAGAUCUGGAGGAAUACCGGUGGCGAAGGCGGCCCCCUGGACAAAGACUGACGCUCANGUGCGAAAGCGUGNGGAGCAAACANGAUUAGAUACCCUGGUAGUCCACGCUGUAAACGAUGUCGACUUGNAGGUUGUUCCCCUGAGGAGUGGCUUCCNGAGCUAACGCGUUAAGUCGACCGCCUGGGGAGUACGGCCGCAAGGUUAAAACUCAAAUGAAUUGACGGGGGCCCGCACAAGCGGUGGAGCAUGUGGUUUAAUUCGAUGCAACGCGAAGAACCUUACCUACUCUUGACAUCCAGAGAACUUAGCAGAGAUGCUUUGGUGCCUUCGGGAACUCUGAGACAGGUGCUGCAUGGCUGUCGUCAGCUCGUGUUGUGAAAUGUUGGGUUAAGUCCCGCAACGAGCGCAACCCUUAUCCUUUGUUGCCAGCGAUUCGGUCGGGAACUCAAAGGAGACUGCCAGUGAUAAACUGGAGGAAGGUGGGGAUGACGUCAAGUCAUCAUGGCCCUUACGAGUAGGGCUACACACGUGCUACAAUGGCAUAUACAAAGAGAAGCGACCUCGCGAGAGCAAGCGGACCUCAUAAAGUAUGUCGUAGUCCGGAUUGGAGUCUGCAACUCGACUCCAUGAAGUCGGAAUCGCUAGUAAUCGUAGAUCAGAAUGCUACGGUGAAUACGUUCCCGGGCCUUGUACACACCGCCCGUCACACCAUGGGAGUGGGUUGCAAAAGAAGUAGGUAGCUUAACCUUCGGGAGGGCGCUUACCAC